Molecule: ribosomal RNA, 451 nt
Filed under: uncultured bacterium
Lineage: Bacteria
Description: bacterial SSU rRNA
Rfam family: Bacterial small subunit ribosomal RNA
Source: RNAcentral
CUCCAGACUCCUACGGGAGGCAGCAGUGGGGAAUAUUGGGCAAUGGGCGCAAGCCUGACCCAGCAACGCCGCGUGAAGGAAGAAGGCUUUCGGGUUGUAAACUUCUUUUAUCAGGGACGAAGCAAGUGACGGUACCUGAUGAAUAAGCCACGGCUAACUACGUGCCAGCAGCCGCGGUAAUACGUAGGUGGCAAGCGUUGUCCGGAUUUACUGGGUGUAAAGGGCGUGCAGCCGGGAGUGCAAGUCAGAUGUGAAAUCCCGCGGCUCAACCGCGGAACUGCAUUUGAAACUGUGCUUCUUGAGUGCUGGAGAGGCAGACGGAAUUCCUAGUGUAGCGGUGAAAUGCGUAGAUAUAAGGAAGAACACCAGUGGCGAAGGCGGAUGACUGGACGAUAACUGACGGUGAGGCGCGAAAGCGUGGGGAGCAAACAGGAUUAGAUACCCGAGUAGA